RNAcentral lists this small nuclear RNA (130 nucleotides) under Fukomys damarensis (Damara mole-rat). RNAcentral describes it as "U1 spliceosomal RNA (ENSFDAG00000004198.1)". It matches the Rfam family "U1 spliceosomal RNA". Rfam says of the family: U1 is a small nuclear RNA (snRNA) component of the spliceosome (involved in pre-mRNA splicing). Its 5' end forms complementary base pairs with the 5' splice junction, thus defining the 5' donor site of an intron. Lineage: Eukaryota; Metazoa; Chordata; Mammalia; Rodentia; Bathyergidae. The record is from RNAcentral.
AUACUUACCUGGAAGAGGAAGACUCUGAUCACCAAGGUGGUUUUCCCAGAGUGAAGAAUAUUCAUUGCACUCCAGAUGUGCUCAACCUGCGAUUUCCCCAAAUGUGGUAGUGGGGGACUGCGUUUCUGCC